AUAUGUCAUGAACAAAAAGUAGAUAUUAUGGGUGAUGGUACAGUCUGAGACGGAAAAGUCAUUGGAGCCCAUCUUUUAGGGGCUAGCACACCAGUACAGGAUGGCUGGACUUGAGAAGUCACAGUACCAGUGGGUAGAAAGGGAUUGCUGUGUAGCAUACAGUAUAUAGUGCCAGACCAUGAAGAAAUGGAACACCUGAACUGGGAUGCUUGGCAGACAGGGGAUGGCUUUAUUGCAUGUGCAUCGAUUGUAUGAGUCGUUUUCUCUGAGUGUUCCUCAGAGCAUCAUGUUUGUAGAGCUCCUUUGCCAAGUUCUUGUUUGCCUCUUUCUGACAGGGAUUGCUGUGCAGCAUUUGGAGUGCUAGCUAUUAAUGCAAAGAAGGACCUGAACCGGGAUACUGGCAUUGCUGAAGUUUCUGGUGACCUACAAAACUCCUGUGCAUCAAGAUGCUGCUACAACCAGCAUCUAAACAUGAAGCUGG
Long non-coding RNA from Tachysurus fulvidraco (yellow catfish), 481 nucleotides. RefSeq lists it as uncharacterized. NCBI's taxonomy places the organism in Eukaryota, Metazoa, Chordata, Actinopteri, Siluriformes, Bagridae. The transcript is spliced from 3 exons. The record is from RefSeq and is a predicted model, not a curated record.